This 236-nucleotide unclassified non-coding RNA is filed under the name Tilletia puccinelliae. Its description in RNAcentral is "partial internal transcribed spacer 2". Lineage: Eukaryota; Fungi; Basidiomycota; Exobasidiomycetes; Tilletiales; Tilletiaceae. The record is from RNAcentral.
CAUGUUCAGCUCCCAGCCUUUUUGAAAGAGAAGGUUGCUUGGAGUUGGUGAUGGACGUUUUUGCCAGACCUUACCGUCUUGCUCGUCUUAAAUCGAUCAGUGGAAUCAUCUUUUGAGUCCGGUCUGACUAUGUGUGAUAAUUUGAUCACAUAGAAUGUGGGCUUGCCCUACAACCGCAUCUUGAAGGACUCUGCUUCCAACACGGAAUGGUCUUGGACCAUCGUUAGCCUUUUAAU